CAUGGAGGGUGAGAAUCCCGUCCGGCUGACCUUCAGGACGUUUUACGAUACGCUCUCAAAGAGUCGAGUUGUUUGGGAUUGCAGCUCAAAAUGGGAGGUAAAUUUCUCCUAAGGCUAAAUACCGGCGAGAGACCGAUAGCGAACAAGUACCGUGAGGGAAAGAUGAAAAGAAUUUUGAAAAGAAAGUCAAACAGUACGUGAAAUUGUUGAAUGGGAAACGAUUGAAGCCAGUCGUACCGACGGGAAUUCAACUUCUCGAGUGCUAAUCGUGGGUGACGUUGAGCCUCACGGCCUUCGUUGCUUGUGUUGUUGGUGCUUUUGGGGUGUACUUUUCCGUAUGGUAGGUCAGCAUCGAUUUCGAUCGUCAUAAAAUGAUCGGGGGAAUGUAGCUUCUGUCUCGUAUCUGAGUGUUAUAUACCUUGGUAGAUGUGACGAUUGGGAUCGAGGAUUGCAACGAAUACCCUCUGGGCUAUCCGCCUGUCCUCUGAAAGUCGCUCGGGCGUCGAAUGCGUGCUUAUGGCUAUUCGAGUUGGCGGUCAAUAGGUUAGAACGUGAUUAUAUUCGUUAAGGAUGUUGACGUAAUGG
This 585-nucleotide ribosomal RNA is filed under the name uncultured Glomus. RNAcentral describes it as "eukaryotic LSU rRNA". It matches the Rfam family "Eukaryotic large subunit ribosomal RNA", at positions 204 to 637 of the family's 3401-position model. Lineage: Eukaryota; Fungi; Glomeromycota; Glomeromycetes; Glomerales; Glomeraceae. The record is from RNAcentral.